UUAAAUUAAUAAGGGCGUAUGGUGAAUGCCUAGGCAUUAGAAGCUGAAGAAGGACGUGGCAAACUACGAAAUGCUUCGGGGAGCUGUAAGCAAGCUUUGAUCCGGAGAUAUCCGAAUGAGGGAACUCACCAACAGUAAUACGUUGGUAUCACAUAAUGAACACAUAGUUAUGUAGAGAACAACCCUGUGAACUGAAACAUCUAAGUAACAGGAGGAAAAGAAAGAAAAAUCGAUUACCUUAGUAGUGGCGAGCGAAACGGUAAGAGCCCAAACCAAUCUAAGGAUUGGGGUUGUAGGACACUUUGUUAGGAGUUACAAAAUUGCUUGAUAGCAGAAUAUUCUGGAAAGGAUAGCUGGAAAACGUGAAAGCCGUGUAUGCGAAAUCAUGCAAUCUCUAAAGUGUAUCCUGAGUACGACGAUACACGAGAAAUUUUGUCGGAAUCCGCGGGGACCAUCCCGCAAGGCUAAAUACUUUCUAAUGACCGAUAGUGAACAAGUACCGUGAGGGAAAGGUGAAAAGAACCCCGGGAGGGGAGUGAAAUAGAAUACUGAAACCAUAUGCUUACAAAAAGUUCGAGCGCGUUAAUGCGUGAGAGCGUGCCUUUUGCAGAAUGAGCCGGCGAGUUAUGGUAUUGUGCAAGGUUAAGUGGAAAACACGGAGCCGAAGCGAAAGCGAGUCUUAAUAGGGCGAAUAAGUACAAUGCUGUAGACCCGAAACCGAGUGAUCUAGCCAUGAGCAGGCUGAAGUAAGGGUGAAACCUUAUGGAGGGCCGAACCAGGACACGUUGUAAAGUGUUUGGAUGACUUGUGGCUAGCGGUGAAAUUCCAAUCGAACUCGGAUAUAGCUGGUUCUCCCCGAAAUAGGUUUAGGCCUAGCCUUGAAUAAUUGCUACCUGGAGGUAGAGCACUGAAUGUGGAAUGGCUUCGUCUAGAGGUACUGACUGCAAUCAAUCUCCGAAUGCCAGGCAAGUAGAUUCAGGAGUCAGUGUAUGAGGUGAUAACGUCCAUACGCGAAAGGAAAUCAAUCCAGAUCAUCAACUAAGGUCCCAAAAUAUAUGUUAAGUGGGAAAGGAUGUGGAGACGCACGAACAGCUAGGAGGUUGGCUCAGAAGCAGCCAUCCUUUAAAGAGUGCGUAAUAGCUCACUAGUCGAGUGUCUCUGCGCCGAAAAUGUACCGGGGCUAAAACAUAUUACCGAAGUUAUGAAUUUAUAUUUAAUAUAGAUGGUAGGGGAGCGUUCUAAGGGCGCUGAAGGUAGACCGUGAGGACUACUGGAGCGCUUAGAAGUGAGAAUGCCGGUGUGAGUAACGCUAGGAGGGUGAGAAUCCCUCCCACCAAUUGACUAAGGGUUCCAGGGUACGGUUCGUCUUCCCUGGGUUAGUCAGGACCUAAGCCGAGGCCGAAAGGCGUAGGCGAUGGACAACAGGUUUAUAUUCCUGUACUGGCUAUAUGACUGAUGGAGCGACGGAGAAAGCAAGUAAGAGCCUAUUAUUGGAUUUAGGUCUAAGCACAAAGAGUGAUGCGUAAGUAAAUCUGCGACAUUAUUAAACUUGAAGUGCGAUGGCGAAGGGUCCCACGGGAACCAAAGUCUUAUGCAGCUAUGCUUCCAAGAAAAACUUCUAAAGAUAUCAUAUAGUUACCUGUACCAAGUACCGACACAGGUGGUCAAGGAGAGUAUCCUAAGGUGAGCGAGAUAACCAUGGGUUAAGGAACUCGGCAAAAUUGCCCUGUAACUUCGGGAUAAAGGGAGGUCUCUUCGGAGACCCACAGAAAAAAGGCCCAAGCAACUGUUUACCAAAAACAUAGGUCUCUGCUAAAGCGAAAGCUGAUGUAUAGGGGCUGACGCCUGCCCAGUGCUGGAAGGUUAAGAGGAUAGGUUAGAUGGACGCAAGUCGAUAACAUCAAAGCCUUGAAUUGAAGCCCCAGUGAACGGCGGCCGUAACUAUAACGGUCCUAAGGUAGCGAAAUUCCUUGUCAGGUAAGUUCUGACCCGCACGAAAGGCGUAAUGAUUUGGGCGCUGUCUCAACCAUGGACUCGGUGAAAUCUUAAUACCUGUGAAAAUGCAGGUUACCCGCGACAGGACGGAAAGACCCCAUGGAGCUUUACUGUAGCUUGAUAUUGUGAUCAGGUAAUGUAUGUAGAGGAUAGGUGGUAGACUAUGAAGUAUGGACGCUAGUUCAUGCAGAGUCGCCCUUGGAAUACCACCCUUACGUUGCUUGAUUACUAACUUAUUCCCGUGAUCCGGGAAGAGGACAGUGUCUGGUGGGCAGUUUGACUGGGGCGGUC
Molecule: ribosomal RNA, 2286 nt
Filed under: human gut metagenome
Description: bacterial LSU rRNA
Rfam family: Bacterial large subunit ribosomal RNA
Source: RNAcentral